AGUCACCUAGUCAGUCUGCAGCGGACCUGAUCGAAGCGAAGAGCCUAGUACUUGUUCACACUCCACAUAGACAUGAUGAUGAUGAAGAUGUGUGUCGCCUACUUUGGAGUUAUCCUGCUGGCUCUCCAUGUUUCAUCACAGACUACACCUGCCAUGAACGAGACCACAAACGGAACUACGACCGAUAGCACCACCGUAACGCCAACCAGCUCAGUGAACAUGACGACCCCAAAGAAGAACGGGUGCGGGAGGACCGACGCCUUUACGCUGCUGCUGCCACUGGCACUAACGGCCCCUCUCCUCCACAGUUGGUCCUAAUGAACCGGACUGAUGGCUCCUCUGCACUUGACACACGCACCGCCACGCUCCGGCAGGAUUGAUAAGGCCGUUACCGUUACUCCAAGAGCAGUCUAUCUUUUUUUCUUUUUCUUUUUUUAAAAAUCCACCCCUCUCACUCACUCUUUUGGAUUUCACCGUUAAAAUUGUCUUCACUGGGAUUUCAUUCUAAAAGGAGUGCGCACUGUAGCCCAGCGCGCGCCGGUUUCAGCCUUUUACGCGCCCUGCUGUUCCUGUCAUUAUGGCCUGCUGUGCUUGCAGGAGGCCUGUAUGGACUGAACUCUUUGAAAUUCCCCUUCUCCAGGGACAAUUCGGUUCCUUGGUGGCUGCAGUUUCAUAGCGGGUGGACGAGUUUUUGUGGCUCGUAAUGUUAUACCAACUGCGUUAUGUGAAGCAAAAAUACUUUAUCAGGCUUCACAGGUCUGAAAUUUUGUCUAAAGAAAAAGGUUUUGUAUCAUUAUGAAAAACGUGUGAUUUAAUGUAAGUUUUAGCUCGUGUUUUUUGUAUGUAAUAAAGAUUUGAACUGUAAAUGUUCAA
Molecule: long non-coding RNA, 873 nt
Organism: Scomber scombrus (Atlantic mackerel)
Lineage: Eukaryota; Metazoa; Chordata; Actinopteri; Scombriformes; Scombridae
Exons: 2
Source: RefSeq, a predicted model, not a curated record